RNAcentral lists this ribosomal RNA (350 nucleotides) under uncultured bacterium. Its description in RNAcentral is "bacterial SSU rRNA". It matches the Rfam family "Bacterial small subunit ribosomal RNA", at positions 355 to 702 of the family's 1533-position model. The record is from RNAcentral.
UGAGGAAUAUUGGACAAUGGACGCAAGUCUGAUCCAGCCAUGCCGCGUGCAGGAAGACGGCCCUAUGGGUUGUAAACUGCUUUUAUACAAGAAGAAUAAGACUUACGUGUAAGUUGAUGACGGUAUUGUAUGAAUAAGCACCGGCUAACUCCGUGCCAGCAGCCGCGGUAAUACGGAGGGUGCAAGCGUUAUCCGGAAUCAUUGGGUUUAAAGGGUCCGUAGGCGGGCUAAUAAGUCAGGGGUGAAAGUUUGCAGCUCAACUGUAAAAUUGCCUUUGAUACUGUUAGUCUUGAAUUAGUAGGAAGUGGUUAGAAUAAGUAGUGUAGCGGUGAAAUGCAUAGAUAUUACUU